CUCCGCCUUCGACUUCAGCCGUCUCCAAGGCUCCGCUUUCGACCGACUUCAAGCCUCCGCCUUCAAGCUCGACCGACCAUCAACAGCGACCUCCGAAAAUUUUCCUCCUCGGUUUCUUCUAACACUAAGGACUGAAAUCAUAUGCUUCCAUUCAUGGGACACCCCCAAGCCUCGCCUCUGGCCAUACCUUUGUUAUGCAGUGGUCAAGAACCCUAAAACUCAAGCAACCAGAUGCGUUCCGAAGGGUUACUGAGUUUGGAGAUGAAGUGGAUAAUCGGUUAUAUGUCCAUGGGGUCUAGGCCAUGAACAAGAAGCAUAAGCCUCCACAGAGAAAAUCAAAUCAACACCAAAUCAACACCCAGUUCCUUCAUGUAACCUAACAAUGGAAAUGGUAAAUAUUUUUUCCUGUCUUUACAUCGUCAAGUUCUUGACAUGCAAGUAAAAAUAAAGUUUAUAUAACCAUUUUAAAUUCUUGAAGAGAAGGAAAAAAGAACGUGUUAUUUUAUUUUUUAGAGUAAGUAAAUUGUCUCCUUGAAUAAAAAGGAAUUUUAUAGAUUUUAUAUUAAUAUAAGUUAUGUAGAUGUUUGAUAUGUUAAUGAUUAUCAGAUAUCCCCAGAUCUGAUGGUGAAGAUGAGAAAAAAUCGUGCGACACUAGUUAACAAUGUUACACUGCCUAGAUCCACACUUGCUAAUUUAGCCUUCACUGUUGUCUUCAUGAAACAUUCCAUGGACAAACACCACGUUUUAUAUUAACCUCCUUUCAGAAUGGUGUCCCAGCCUGAGAUCCAAUACAUAAAAGUCAUGUACAGAUCUCUUUGAUACCUAUGGUCAGAAAUGCAAUGAUAUUCUCACGAAACUUCACAAAGAGAAUGCAGACAAGUUUUCGCUUGACCUAGAACAAGUCAUUGGGGGUCAAGGUAGAUAUUCAGGCUUAUGAUGAUGGCAACAACUUCGCGGCAGGAAUUUUAUAUUUCACCUUUCGAUUUGAGUUAAUCCCAUAUCUGUUUGAGGAGUUUGUAAGCUGCAUGAGUAAUCAUCACUUUUUCCUUUUUUUUGAUACCUCUUCCCUCCCCUCUGUGAAACCUUUAAACUUUCGGGAAAAGAUGGUCAUUAUUACUCGUGCAGCUUACAAACUCCUCAGGCGGACAUGAGAUUAACUCAUAUCGUAAGGUGAAAUAUAAAAUUACUAUCGCGAAGUUCUCGUUGGUGCCAUCAUCAUACACCUGAAUACCUACCUUGAUCCCCAAUGGCUUGUUCCAGGUCAAGCGAAAGCUUGUCUGCAUUCUCUCUGUGAAGUUUCGUGAGAAUAUCAUUGUAUUUUUGAUCAUAUGUAUCAAAGAGAUCUGUGCAUGUCUUUAUGUAUUGAAUCUCAGGUUAGGACACCCUUCUGAAAGAAGGUUGAUAUAAAACGUGAUGUUUGUCCAUGGAAUGUUUCAUGAAGACAAUAGUGGAGGCUGAAUUAGCAAGUGUGGAUCCAGGUAGUGUAACAUUGUUAACUAGUGUCGUACAGUUUUUUCUCAUCUUCGCCAUCAGAUCUGGGGAUAUCUGAUAAUCAUUAACAUAUCAAACAUCUACAUAACUUAUAUUAAUAUAAAAUCUAUAAAAUUCCUCUUUAUUCAAGGAGACAAUUCACUUACUCCAAAAAGUGAAACGACACGUUUUUUUUCCUUCUCUUCAAAAAUUUAAAAUGGUUAUAUAAACUUUGUUUUCACUUGCAUGUCAAGAACUUGACGAUGUAAAAACAAAUGGAAGGAUAUUUUCCAUUUCCAUUGUAAGGUUACAUGAUUGUUCAUUCACGCCUUCUUCCUUAUCUCAAUAGUCUACAAGACUUCCAUCUUCAGGAUAAAACUGAAAGUCCUGGUUGGCAACUGAAAACAGCUAUGGCAACAAUGAGGAUGCUCUUUUUAGGGGGAAAUCUUGCUGGUUAAAACCACAGGGUGCCUGCUAUAGCAUACACAUAGUUGCUUGUCAAAUGUAGCUUUCCUUCGUCGAGCACUGUGAUUGCAAAUGAACCUGCAGGUGUCAAGGUGAAGCCUGGAGAGCCUUGUAGGGUUGACCCGGGAAGGCACAGGCGUAUUAUUGUCACACAGGCUACAUUUGAUCCGGAAGAAGAUGAUGGCCUUGUCUGUAUCUCUGCGAAAACUGAUGCGUUUAAGGAGGCAAUUCUUGGAACUCUUUCAAGGAAUUGUACCCAGUUGAUAUUUGGCUUUGAUUUAUGUUUCAAUAAAAGUUUUGAGUUGUCUGACACCUCCAGCAAAGCUACCGUCCAUUUUUUUUGGUUCUUCCGAUGCUCAGCCACAGAGAUAUCCUUUCUAAUUUGCUUUCUGCAUCAAGAACUUGUGAUGUUCUUUUUUGGUUAGAUAUUGUCUUUCCUCUACUUUUCUGUUCCUAUUCCACACCCGUCUGGGACAUCAUUGAUUCCGGUGAGGAAUUUAAUUUUUUUUCCUCUUUACACUGCUAUACUUUACUUUUCGAGUCUCUCAUCAUAUUUUGCAGUUAGGUGCUAUAUGCAAUUUGUAUUCUGAUUUUUAGCUGUAUGUUGCUGCGCACUAGUACAUUGCUUUCAUUAACUUGUUAUUUUUGUUUUA
Molecule: long non-coding RNA, 2588 nt
Organism: Asparagus officinalis (garden asparagus)
Lineage: Eukaryota; Viridiplantae; Streptophyta; Magnoliopsida; Asparagales; Asparagaceae
Exons: 4
Source: RefSeq, a predicted model, not a curated record